RNAcentral lists this ribosomal RNA (497 nucleotides) under uncultured bacterium. Its description in RNAcentral is "partial 16S ribosomal RNA". It matches the Rfam family "Bacterial small subunit ribosomal RNA", at positions 28 to 507 of the family's 1533-position model. The record is from RNAcentral.
GACGAACGCUGGCGGCGUGCCUAAUACAUGCAAGUUGAGCGCUGAAGGUUGGUACUUGUACCAACUGGAUGAGCAGCGAACGGGUGAGUAACGCGUGGGGAAUCUGCCUUUGAGCGGGGGACAACAUUUGGAAACGAAUGCUAAUACCGCAUAAAAACUUUAAACACAAGUUUUAAGUUUGAAAGAUGCAAUUGCAUCACUCAAAGAUGAUCCCGCGUUGUAUUAGCUAGUUGGUGAGGUAAAGGCUCACCAAGGCGAUGAUACAUAGCCGACCUGAGAGGGUGAUCGGCCACAGUGGGACUGAGACACGGCCCAAACUCCUACGGGAGGCAGCAGUAGGGGAUCUUCGGCAAGGGACGAAAGUCUGACCGAGCAACGCCGCGUGAGUGAAGAAGGUUGUCGGGUCGUAAAACUCUGUUGGUAGAGAAGAACGUUGGUGAGAGUGGAAAGCUCAUCAAGUGACGGUAACUACCCAGAAAGGGACGGCUAACUACGUG